GGGGCGCUUCUAGAACGGGCGGCGGGAGCGGCGGCUGCAGGGUGAGCGGGGCUGGGGGUACGGCCGGAACCCCUGCUGAGGGCGGGGGCACAGUUUUAUAGGUGCUCCGUGAGGGUGGAGUGGACCUGGAAGGCUGCUGUGGCCAUCUUUACCAGGGUAAUAUUUCAUUUUUCUGGCAUUAAGGACUUGGAAAUAUUCCCACAGGUAUCUGGAAGAUGAAACCCUGGCUGCAGCUGAUGUUCUUCCCAUGUGUUUUCCUGAUCUGGCACACAGAAGCAGAGUUCUUUACCUCCAUAGGUCAAAUGACAGACCUGAUAUAUGCGGAGAAGGACUUGGUACAGUCUUUACAGGAAUAUAUCCGAGCAGAAGAGAAAAAGCUCUCUCAGAUUAAAAGCUGGGCUGAAAAAAUGGAUAUACUGACCAGCAAAUCAGCCUCUGACCCAGAAGGGUAUCUGGCACACCCUGUGAAUGCAUACAAGCUUGUGAAGCGUUUGAAUACUGACUGGCUGGAAUUGGAAAACCUGGUUCUUCAGGAUACAACAAAUGGCUUUAUUGCAAAUCUCACAAUCCAGCGUCAGUUUUUUCCAACUGAGGAGGAUGAGACCGGAGCGGCGAAGGCUCUGAUGCGCCUGCAGGACACCUAUAAACUGGAUCCUGAAACCCUCUCUCGAGGGAACUUGCCAGGAACAAAAUACAGAUCCUUCCUGACAGUUGGUGACUGCUUUGGCAUGGGGAAGACAGCCUACAAUGACGGGGACUAUUACCACACUGUGCUCUGGAUGGAGCAGGCCUUAAAACAGCACGAUGAGGGGGAGGAUACAACAGUCAGCAAAGUAGAGAUCCUAGAUUAUCUCAGCUAUGCUGUUUUCCAGUUUGGGGAUUUGCACAGAGCCAUGGAGCUCACCAGGCGGCUGAUAUCCCUCGAUAGCACUCAUGAGAGAGCAGGCAGUAAUCUGCGAUACUUUGAGAAGCUGCUGGAGAAGGAAAGAGAGGAGAAGGAAAAAGAAAAUUCAGUAAACAAGACUGUGACAACCACAGAAGCUGUGGUGCAAAGUGGAGCCUAUGAGAGGCCUCUUGACUACCUGCCAGAGCGUGAUAUCUAUGAGGCCCUUUGCCGAGGUGAAGGGGUGAAAAUGACACCUCGAAGACAAAAAAGGCUGUUUUGUAGGUACCAUGAUGGAAACAGAAACCCUCAUCUGCUCAUAGCUCCCUUUAAAGAAGAAGAUGAAUGGGACAGUCCUCAUAUUGUGAGAUACUAUGAUGUCAUGUCUGAUGAAGAAAUUGAGAAAAUUAAACAACUGGCUAAGCCAAGGCUGGCACGAGCCACAGUACGUGAUCCCAAAACCGGUGUCCUUACAGUGGCUAGCUACAGAGUAUCCAAGAGCUCGUGGUUGGAGGAAGAUGAUGAUCCUGUUGUGGCUAAGGUGAAUCAGCGAAUGCAGCACAUCACAGGGUUAACAGUGAAAACAGCUGAGCUCUUGCAGGUUGCCAACUAUGGAAUGGGAGGGCAGUACGAGCCACACUUUGAUUUUUCUAGGCGACCCUUUGACAGCACACUCAAAUCGGAAGGAAAUAGGCUAGCGACGUUUCUUAACUAUAAAGAUGAGCCAGAUGCUUUCAAGCGGUUAGGGACUGGAAAUCGUGUGGCCACUUUUUUAAACUAUGUAAGUAUGAUGAUCCUUUAUGCAUUGGGUGUAACUUUAGCAGCAUCUUUUUACAGCUUGUGCAGUUGGUUAUUUGUAGAGAUUUCCUGGCAUCUGGCAGUAGGGAUUUCAUUAUUCCUGCAAGCAUCAGGUGCUGUCCCAUCUGAAUUGAUAGAAUUUUGGUGGUAUUUAACGUUAGAGCAGAAAAUUUUUAAUAUAGGAGCCCUCUUCUCCUUUCGGUCACUCUGCUGUGGAAUCUUUUACUUAAGUGGAUUCCGUGGGGGAAAGGAGACUUUGGCUAAUUUCUCAGAGGGAGAUACGUGGGGUACUCAUGUGGUAUGCUUUUGGAGAACUUGACUAGCAGCCACUUAAUGUGAGACAGUCAUAUUUUUCCACCACUGCUUGACAGCACGUGAUGUUGUGGUCUGUGAUCCUGUUCCUCAGCAAAGCCAGAGUUGCUCAGUUGCUCAGCACAGCUGCCACUUCAACAAAGGCAGGCAGAGCUGAUAAACUUGGUGCAGCUAGGUUACAAGUGCAGAUUUGAAAGAUUCAUUAGCUGCAUGCAUUGCACAGCCCACAGACCAUGUACACUGGAAUCCUAAACAGCUGCCACUGGGAAUAAUGGCUUUGUUUUCACAGUAGUCUUCUGACACUAUUUUGUCUAUCAGCCUGUACCUUUAGGAUCAUCUCAUCUUCUGUAAUUAAGAUUUUAGUGAUACAGUUUAAAUAUCACAGAAAUUUAAAAUUGUUUGCUGACAUCACAUUUUGAGAGUGAAAUGCAGCUCAAAACAAAACCAGAAACACUUUCAAGUUGAUAUGGCAGAGAGGGAUAUAAUCUUCAAAACAAGAAUUGGAAUAAGAUGGGUAGCUGUGAAAUAUUCUGCUGCAAAGAUAUUUUAGUUCUAAAUUGAGCCAACCUUCAUUUUGUUUGCUUCUCAGAAUUAUGGAUGAGCUUUGAUUUAGAAGGAACAAUACACAUCUCUGCCAGUUGUACAUGGUCAAAGGCACUUUGCCCUUGUUUGUCUAAUGUAGAACUCAUAACACAUCAUUCAUGUACCACCAGCCUUACUAAAAAGAGUAGUUGUGUGGCUAAGACAUGUGUAUUAACUUGCAAGGCUGCAUGCACACGCUUUCUAGUUGGAAGGGGCAAAAACCUGUGCACCUGUGGUAUCUGAUGCCCUUUUACUGUACCAAGCAGGAGGACACCAGAGUGGUAAUAACAUCUGCUUUAAACAGAAAUUCAAGUUACAAGGGAUUGUGGGGACUUGGGGAGUGUGUUAAUAGUAGUUACUAAAUUUGGUGGGAGUUGGAUCUGACUAAUUUGUUUCUUUUAAUUAGAAUCUGAGCCAGAGCUUACUGAAUUGUUCUAUUUUUAAUGGGAGCAUUUCUAGAAACUUUGGGGUUUGAGUCAAGUCUAGAAUUUACAAUAAAUCCAUUGUUACUGAUGAAUACAAUAGGGUUAAAUUUAUUCCAUUGUAGAGGGCAAAGCAUAAAGAUACAUGGUUUUGUUUAGUCACAUAGCUGUAGCUGUUGGAGCUUGAGCUGCCUAAAGCACUUGAAAUUGCUUAAGAUGUGCUGUUUCUGUGCUGUUGGUGAACAGCACAGAAACAGCUAAGAGAAAGAAGAAAAGAGAAGCUUUCUAAUAGUUUGUGUAGUUUUUGAAGUGGUUGACCAAGAUGCAUAAACUAAGUUAUGAAAAUGAGUUCCAAAGGCAUGGUUUCAAUUUACAAGGAAAUACGUGGUUUAACAGACACUUGUUUUCCUAAUUGGAUCAUAAAGUAGAAUGAAAUUCUUGAACCCAGCUUACUCUGAAGUCCUCUUCUCUUGUUCUAGAGUAUUAGCUUAUUAACAUUGCAGGUACACAACCUCUAUUUGAAACAGAGGGUACAUAAUCUAGGAAAUACAUAUCUAGAUAUACAUAAUAUGGACAAAAGCCUUCAGCUGAAAUAAAAUGUUUCAACAGCAGGUACUGCUUCCUCUGCAGUUUGUGCUGGUUGAAAUGUACCCUCCUCAUCAGUGCUGCUGGUAGAGGUGCAAGUGGAAAUAUCAGGCCUUGGGAUAUAUUAGUUUGUGGGAUUGUAUAAAAAACCUUGUAAAUGUACAGUUUGUGGACUUUGUUUUCUCAGAUGAGUGAUGUAGAAGCUGGAGGAGCUACAGUUUUCCCAGAUUUUGGGGCAGCAAUAUGGCCCAAGAAGGGAACAGCAGUGUUUUGGUACAAUCUUUUCAGAAGUGGUGAGGGGGAUUACAGAACAAGACAUGCAGCUUGUCCAGUAC
Molecule: RNA transcript, 3917 nt
Organism: Onychostruthus taczanowskii (white-rumped snowfinch)
Lineage: Eukaryota; Metazoa; Chordata; Aves; Passeriformes; Passeridae
Gene: P4HA2
Gene name: prolyl 4-hydroxylase subunit alpha 2
Exons: 15
Source: RefSeq, a predicted model, not a curated record